This 73-nucleotide transfer RNA is filed under the name Felis catus (domestic cat). It matches the Rfam family "tRNA". Rfam says of the family: Transfer RNA (tRNA) molecules are approximately 80 nucleotides in length. Lineage: Eukaryota; Metazoa; Chordata; Mammalia; Carnivora; Felidae. The record is from Rfam by way of RNAcentral.
ACCUGGCUGGCUCAGUUGGUGGAGCGUGCAACUCUUGAUCUCAGGGUUGUGGGUUCGAGUCCCACAGUGGGUG